AGAAUCAACGCUGGCGGCGUGCCUAACACAUGCAAGUCGAACGAGAAAGUGGAGCAAUCCAUGAGUAAAGUGGCGCACGGGUGAGUAACACGUGACUAACCUACCCUUGAGUGGGGAAUAACUGAGGGAAACCUUAGCUAAUACCGCAUAACACCUACGGGUCAAAGGAGCAAUUCGCUUAAGGAGGGGGUCGCGGCAGAUUAGUUAGUUGGCGGGGUAAUGGCCCACCAAGACAGUGAUCUGUAUCCGGCCUGAGAGGGCGCACGGACACACUGGAACUGAAACACGGUCCAGACUCCUACGGGAGGCAGCAGUGGGAAUUUUGCGCAAUGGGGGAAACCCUGACGCAGCAACGCCGCGUGGAGGAUGAAGACCCUUGGGUCGUAAACUCCUUUCGAUCGGGACGAUUAUGACGGUACCGGAAGAAGAAGCCCCGGCUAACUUCGCGCCAGCAGCCGC
Molecule: ribosomal RNA, 459 nt
Filed under: uncultured bacterium
Lineage: Bacteria
Description: SSU rRNA
Rfam family: Bacterial small subunit ribosomal RNA
Source: RNAcentral